Molecule: long non-coding RNA, 1080 nt
Organism: Drosophila pseudoobscura
Lineage: Eukaryota; Metazoa; Arthropoda; Insecta; Diptera; Drosophilidae
Exons: 2
Source: RefSeq, a predicted model, not a curated record
GCGUGUGGGGUUGUGAGCCACCAUCUCCCCCUCUGAUGCUGCCCUCCAGCAUUGGGAGGCUUCCCGACAGUUAGAAUGUUAUUAGAAAACAAUGAUUGGGAAAACAUUUGAUUAGUGGAUGGCGACAGCCAGACAGUACCCAAAACAAAAAGAAAAGAGUCGAAACCCCAAAUAUCGUAGGGGCCAGAAUCCUCUAUGAAAUAUCAUAUGGGAAUAGAUCCGAAUGGCCCCGCCAGGAAUCCCAGUUACAUAUGUACAUCCCUUGUACAAUGCACCCUCGACGGCUACGAACAGCAGGUAUUUGGAGAGAGCUACUCGUAAUAAACAAUAGCUCCAGUCAAUGGGCAAGACGGUUUGACAGUUAUUUGGCAGCUUUUGAUUACAGGUUGCGUGACUUUAUCUCAAACUGAAUUUUCGCGUGUGGAACCGGUUUUGGCCGACUUCGGUGAAUACCAAGGGUCUGAUAGCCACAUGACAAGCGUGUGACUGGCUGUCUGGCUGGGGGAUGACGCUCCAUUCGGCUGCUGCGCCAUAGGUGAUCUUGGGACUUGGACGUGGAACAUUUACAGCCACCAUUGUAACACCUGCAUACGUCAGGAGCUAGGAGCUUGGAUUUGAUAAGGCCAAUUCCAGAGAGCAGUCCCAAAGGUCCCCGGGAAUAUUUUGGAGCGUCGUCAACAGAAAACAAAUUCUAAAUCCGCAAAACAACCUCGAUUUACCCUUAUCAUUGGAAAGCACACGCUUCUAUCGUUGGAGAUAAGCAGCAAUGAGGACUCGAGGAAACCUCCAGACACACCCAUUUUUCAAGUGGCGACUGCAGCCCAGCACAGCCCCGCCGCAAUGCCUAAUACCUUAACUAGUUUCAAUGAAUUUAUGGCCCCUUCCUCAAGGCCACUGCCGUGCCACUAUUGGACAUUUAACGAUCCAAUUUCUGGUCCAAAUUGGCACUGUCUCAAAGGAAACGAUGAACCACAAUUUAGGCACGGCAUUCGACAGCUUAAAUAUACAAUAGCAGAGCCCAUUGCAUGACAGGGGCGUGUCGCAAAACGUCCCAUUGGAGUCUGUCAUGCAUCUUACCCC